AUUGAACGCUGGCGGCAUGCCUUACACAUGCAAGUCGAACGGCAGCACGGGAGCAAUCCUGGUGGCGAGUGGCGAACGGGUGAGUAAUAUAUCGGAACGUGCCCAGUCGUGGGGAUAACGUAGCGAAAGCUACGCUAAUACCGCAUACGAUCUAUGGAUGAAAGCGGGGGAUCGCAAGACCUCGCGCGAUUGGAGCGGCCGAUAUCAGAUUAGGUAGUUGGUGAGGUAAAGGCUCACCAAGCCGACGAUCUGUAGCUGGUCUGAGAGGACGACCAGCCACACUGGGACUGAGACACGGCCCAGACUCCUACGGAGGCAGCAGUGGGGAAUUUUGGACAAUGGGCGCAAGCCUGAUCCAGCAAUGCCGCGUGCAGGAUGAAGGCCUUCGGGUUGGUUAAACGUAGGU
RNAcentral lists this ribosomal RNA (406 nucleotides) under uncultured bacterium. RNAcentral's name for it is "bacterial SSU rRNA". It matches the Rfam family "Bacterial small subunit ribosomal RNA", at positions 30 to 437 of the family's 1533-position model. The record is from RNAcentral.